AUACAUUUAUAACUACAUUCUCGUUUGUUUUCUGCCAAUCCCUCCUUCCAAACUUGUAAUGAUCUGAGUGAUUGAUUGCAUUAUGAUCAAUCGAUGACGUAGGAAGAUGAGUGAAUCUGAAGGUAGCUUACCAUGAAGGUCGAUGAUUGGAUUGGAUCGCAUCUGUAAUUGCUGAACUGCAAAAACAAAGAUUAUCGGCAGUUCGGCGAGGCCUCUAAUUCAAUGGUCGAUUUCUGGUGUAAGGUAGUUCCGGCGCAUCGCCAUGAGUUUCUCGUUGGGGGGCUCUACUGAUAUUGCACUCUAUAGUUCAUCAUUCAUCAAACUGUCGUGUAAUUGCGGGGAAGAAGAAAGCCAAUGUAGAUUUUGUAUUUGCUGCAGCCGAUGGGAUGAGGGGAGCCGGAGGAAGAAGCUAAUGCUAUAUAACACAACCUGUAACGUGUAAAUUUGGCCAGAUAUUGUAUUGAGAACUAGGUCUUGCGAGGAAGACAAUUCCUUUAAGGACAUUCCUUGUCUCCUUUCUUCAUGUUUAUUUGUUAGUAUCAGGCUCGUCUCCUCCAUUUCUAUGUCAGUAAGUACUCCCUCUGUUUUUAUCCUUUUUGUGUAUUGUUUUAUUCCUAGCUCUUUUAGGGAAAAUGUAAAGAGUAGUUCUCCAAAGGAAAAAUGGGGAUAUAUAGCUCAAACUUUUAGUUGAUUCACAUUCCUGAUGCUUGGCUCAUUUGGUCCCUUCUUUGUAGAAGUUCUAAUACUGCUGAUAAACCACAGAGGAGAUUUCCCCUUUGGGGGUUUUCUCCCUCGGUCUGUUGCUUUUUAUUUUUUAAGACGAGAUGAUUUGGUGGA
This is a non-coding RNA of Momordica charantia (bitter melon), 837 nucleotides long. The record is from RefSeq and is a predicted model, not a curated record. Lineage: Eukaryota; Viridiplantae; Streptophyta; Magnoliopsida; Cucurbitales; Cucurbitaceae.